This 483-nucleotide ribosomal RNA is filed under the name uncultured bacterium. RNAcentral's name for it is "partial 16S ribosomal RNA". It matches the Rfam family "Bacterial small subunit ribosomal RNA", at positions 899 to 1397 of the family's 1533-position model. The record is from RNAcentral.
ACUCAAAUGAAUUGACGGGGACCCGCACAAGCGGUGGAGCGUGUUGUUUAAUUCGAUGGUAAGCGAAGAACCUUACCCAGGUUUGACAUCCUUGGAAGUUCUCCGAAAGGAGAAUGUGCUUUUGAACCAAGUGACAGGUGAUGCAUGGCCGUCGUCAGCUCGUGUCGUGAGAUGUUUGGUUAAGUCCAUCAACGAGCGCAACCCUUGUGAUUAGUUGAAUUUUUCUAAUCAGACUGCCCUGGUAACAGGGAGGAAGGAGGGGAUGAUGUCAGGUCCGUAUUUCCCUUAUAUCUGGGGCUACAAACACGCUACAAUGGCCGGUACAAAGGGCAGCCAAGUCGCGAGACGGAGCAAAUCCCAUCAAAGCCGGUCCCAGUUCGGAUAGCAGGCUGAAACUCGCCUGCUUGAAGUCGGAAUCGCUAGUAACGGUAGGUCAGCUAUACUACCGUGAAUACGUUCCCGGGUCUUGUACACACCGCCCGU